AUUAGAAACAUCAUUGAGUGCAGCGUUGAUGAAAUUCUCCGGCACCCUCCUUUCCCAUUUCCAGGUUUGGAACAAUUUCAUCAGCUCUGCACUCAAUAAUGUUUCUA
Non-coding RNA from Punica granatum (pomegranate), 107 nucleotides. NCBI's taxonomy places the organism in Eukaryota, Viridiplantae, Streptophyta, Magnoliopsida, Myrtales, Lythraceae. The record is from Rfam.